AAAAAGUUUAGUUUUUUUGUUAUGUAAAUUUCUCACUUAUUAUGAGUAAUAGGAUAACUAUAUUUGGUAUAUGGGUUCCUUGCAACGUCUACAUGUCCAUCAUACAGGGUUCACCUGACCUCAGCCUCAUUUCAUGGAUCAGUGAUCAAGGUUAAAGUUACGUGAUUAGGUCCGUUUCUCAGAUACUACAAGCAGUAGGUCAGCUAUAUGUGGUGUAUGGAAUGAUUAUAAGGGAUACAUGUCAGUCUGGCAGGUUUCAUCUGACCUUGACCUCAUUUUCAUGGUUCAUUGGUCAAUGUUAAGUUUUUGUGUUUUGGUCUGUUUUUCUAAUACUAUAAGCCAUUGGUCAACUAUAUUUGGUGUAUGGAAUGAUUGUAAGGUGUACAUGUCUGUCUGGCAGGUGUCAUUUGUCCUUGACCUCAUUUUCAUGGUUCAUUGGUCAAUGUUAAGUUUUGUGUUUUGGUCUGUUUUUCUAAUACUAUAAGCAAUAGGUCAACUAUAUUUGGUGUAUGGAAUGAUUGUAAGGUGUACAUGUCUGACUGGCAGGUGUCAUUUGUCCUUGACCUCAUUUUCAUGGUUCAUUGGUCAAUGUUAAGUUUUUGUGUUUUGUUUGGUCUGUUUUUCUAAUACUAUAAGCAAUAGGUCAACUAUAUUUGGUGUAUGGAAUGAUUGUAAGGUGUACAUGUCUGUCUGGCAGGUGUCAUUUGUCCUUGACCUCAUUUUCAUGGUUCAUUGGUCAAUGUUAAGUUGCUCUUGUUUGGUCCUCUUCUCAGAUACUAUAAGAUAUAGGUCAACAAUAUGUGGUGUAUGGAAUGAUUGUAAGGUGUGCACGUCUGUCUGACAGGUUUCAUCUGACCGUGAGCUUAUUUUCAUGGUUCAUUGGUCAAUGUUAAGUUUCUGUUGUUUGGUCUUCUUCUCAGAUGCUAUAAGUAAUAGGUCAACUAUAUUUGGUGUAUGGAAUGUAUUUUAUUAUUUAACUGCUGAUUACUUACAUUGAAAUAGAUUAUUUUAUAAAAAUCUUUAAAUAACAUUAAUAAUGAUAAUAAAUAAUAAAAACUUUUAAGGGAUCAUUACUAAACCGUGAUUAACAAAAACAUUGGAAGGUGUGAAAAUGUUAAAAUAAGGUCACUCAUGCAUGAAUGUUUAACAUAGAAUACAGUUCACUCCAGUCCCUUCAUAAAGAUUAAUUGGCUGAAUAUGUACAGAUUGAAGAACUUUUGAAAUUUUGUUUGCACAACAGAAUCACAUUUACUGAUUUUUGAUACAUAUGAAAUAAGAUAAGUAUUGAGAUAAGUAAAAAAUAUUUUAGCAUAGCAACAUAAAUAGAUAAAUAGAUAAUAUGAAAAUAUGACUUUUUACAAUAUUUUGAUCAAAGAUUGAAGAUAAUUUUAUUUUUUUAAUUUUUUUUUUGGGGUGUUUUUCUUAAACUAUAAGUAAUAGGUCAACUAUAUUUGUUGUAUGGAAGAAUUGUUAGCUGUACAUGCCUGCCUAGCAUGGUUCAUCUGACCUUGACCUCAUUUUCCUGGUUCAUUGGUCAAUGUUUAGUUUUCUUGGUUAAUGUUAAGUUUAUGUGACAGUUGUAAUAAAGCUUUAUAUUUAGGACUAUCAACAUAAUAUCAAUGAUUAGUAAAGAAGGCGAGACAUUUCAGCGUGUGCACUCUUGUAUGAUUUUAUAAAUGAACUUGCAUGUAUCUACAAAGAUGUUAUUUGUGGGGGAAAAUAUUAUAAUCAGAUGUUUUAUUUUGUUUUUAUUCCUUACCAAAUCUUAAUUUUUGUUACCUUAAUUUGAUUAUAUAUUUAUAUAUAUCUUAUAAAAGAAUAUAAGCAAGCUUUUCAUGCUUAAAGCAUGAUGACAGUAUUAACAAAAUGGAGAGCCUCUAAAAAGUUACACCAAUAAGUAUUUACAGAAUACAUUUAAUAUUUACUUUUUUCUUGAAAAAACACAGCUUAUGACUUUCAAAAUAUGAAAAUAAAAUUAGAUAAAAUAUAACAAUAAAGAUCUUUACUGAUGAAAAGGAGAACUUUUUAAUAAAAUCUCUAUACUGAAUUUUGCAUAAAACUACUUUGUAGUUUUUAAAAAUGUUAUACUAGUAAUGUCCAGUGGAAAAUAUUACUAAGGUUACUCAUAGAAAUUGAACAAUGAAAAAUACAAAAUCAUGUAUACAAUAAGUUCAGUAAUCACAUGACAUAAAACUUAAAUGAAGUCCAAGUUUGUUUGCUGGUCAGCGUUAUUUAAAUGAGAAAAGUCAGAUGAUAUAAUGAAACAGGUUUAAAGCACAUGUCUUAUGUUUUUGUUUUGCAUGGAAGGCUGUUACAUUAUUCAUACUUACUCCAUCAAGUAUUUUAUAUAAAAAAAAAUAGAAGUAACAUAGAGACCUAAUGGGUAACUUUUUUGAUUAUUGGCCUAAAAUUAUGAUAUUCAUAGUCAGAGUUCGUAUAUAUCAUACAUUAACAUACAUCAAGAAAAAAAAUGUUUAUUUGUAAAAAUGAAUUUUUAAGAAUUAUUUUCUGAAGAUUUAUAGAAGUCAAACAGACUAUAAUAGAUUGAGAGAAACUUUAAGUUGCAAAAAUGAUCAGCAAGACAAGAUCUACAUUUCAGACAAUAUGGAGGAAAUUUUCCAACAACUCCUUAUUGGAGUUAUUGACCUUAAAUGACAAUUUUUACCAUUUUUUUUGCGUUUUGCCUUCAAUAUAUGAUAAAAAUUAUAAUAGAUAAAUAGAAAAAACUUUAAAUAACAAAAAUGAUCAGCAAGGCAAGAUCCACAAAUGUCAAAUUUUGUCAAUAUAGUUGGUAGACUUGUCACUCUUCUUAAGAGUGAUUGCCCUUAAAUGAGGAUUUUUUUACCCUCUUUUGUGUUUUGAGCAAAAACUAAAGAAGAUAGAGAGAAACUAAACAGACAAAAUGAUCAGCAAUACAAGAUCAACAAAAAAGAAAUUUCUGUCAUGAAUUCUAUUCUUGUCUACAAUGUUGGAGAGUCCAUUGUUGAUUAUGCACAUAGACCUAGGUGAGCCACACAGGCUCUUUAGAGUCUCUGGUUUGUUUUUAAAUAAAGCAUGUUAGAAAUUUACAUGUGGCUAUUCACUGCCAUACUGCACAGCAUGCACACAUAUAGUGAGGAAGUAAUGGAAAAAUAGCAAUUUACUCAGAUAGAACAUUUUGCUUAUUUCUUCUUAAUAUAUAUGUAUUUGCAUGUAUAUUAGGUAGUUAGAAAUUCCUGCAACAUAUAUUUACAUGUAAAUUAGGUAAAGAGAAAUUCCUAAAACAUGCAUGUGCAUGCUUUAUUGUUAGUUAUACACACACAGCUCAUAUACUGUAACAUAUUCAUGUACCUGUCCAGGAACCUUGUCAGUAACUGUCUUAGUGUUUAUGUUUUUGUUGUUUAGAGAGUUUUAUUUUUAUAGGUCUUUUAUAGCUUCUGUUUAAUUGAUUCACAUUUUUUUAAGACACUGGACAAUUUAGAGCUCGACAUAUUGGUAUAGACACCUGUCUAUUAUUCUUGACCACUUGAUGUUGAUAUGUUUUUUUUUGUUGUUGGAUUGCUGGAGUGUCAUUCAUAUAUAUAUAUAUAUAUAUAUAUAUUCUACCACUGCAUCAGAUGUGAUACUAUAUUUCUCCACUCGAGACAGUUAAAUUUUCAAAUUUUAAACACAAGGCUAAUUUCCUAGAAUUUAAAUAUUUAAAAUUCAACUGUCGAGAGUUGAAAAUUAUGGUAUUGCACAUGAUUUAGUGUUGGAAUCUAUUUUUCUCUAAUGGUUUAUAGAUGAUAUGUAGAUAAAUUUAAUCCUUCUUUUCCAAUGUUCUGCAAAAAGAUGUGUUCUUUCUAUAUAAAUAAACUCGUCAUAGAUACCAGGAUUGAAAUUUUAUAUUUACGCCAGACGCGUUAUAUUAUGCCAUCAUUUCAUGGUCACCAGUGAAUAUAUAUAUAUAUACUGUUGCCAAAAUUCAAAAAUUUUGUUGGUUUUUUUUGGGGAGGGGGGGUUGUUUUUUUUGUUUUUUCAGAUUGUUAUUUUUUUUUUUACCUUUCUCCAAAAUACGGGUCUUCUUUUAUUGCUCAACAAUUUUUUGAAAACAAUGGAUAAGUUAUAAUAUAGUAAUUCAGAUUACUAACAAGAACUUACCAGUUUAUUUAUAUACUACUAAUGUUAAACGAGGAUGUGAUAAGGUAUUGGUAAUUUCUGUAUCUAACUUACAAAUGCUAAAAUUUUCAAUAAAGUAUGACACAAUUUUUUUUUAAAAAGGAACGGGGAAAUUGGAAAUCGUUUCUGGCAAGGUCAAUAUUGGAUAUUCAGAAAUUAAUCUGUGCGUUUAUCACUGAUUACUGGUAAAAAUAUGAGAUCUAAUUGAUGGGAUUGCAAAAAUUUGUGAAAAUAAGAACUCAAGGUUUAAUUACUGCGAUCCUGAUAUUGUUGCAUGUUUUUCACAUUAAUAAAAACAUUGCAUUAAUUUCUGAAUUUAUAAAGCUCCUCAAUAGCUCCAUACUACAGUCAUGAAUAUUAUAAUGAUGGUUAGGAUAGGGUUUACGGAUAGAGGGGGGAUAGAGAAUAAUAAACAAAACGUGCAGAAUAAAGGACAAAAAAAAUAAAGAAAAGAGAAAAAUAGGGAAAAACAAAUAAAGAAUAGAGAAUAAUGGGGUGCUAAAAUAAAAAGAAAAGAGAAAAAUGGGGAAAAGAGAAAAAGAAUAGAGAAAAAUGAUCUAAAAAAACAAAGAUUAAAGAAAUGAAAGUCCCCAUCCAGACCCUCUAUAUAAUAUUAAUGUCAGCUGUUUUUUAAGCACUAUUCUUUAUAAAUAUGUAACCUGGUAUAUUGUAGGGUAGAAUGAGUGUAAGUUCAAACUUUUUAAUUUAGAAGAAUUUAGUAUUAUCACAAUCAACUAACAGAAGUUGUUACUGCUUGUACUAAAAUUUCUUGAAAUUUCUGUUUUGCAGAAUUUUUUAAUAUCAUGUGGAUAUCUUGUUUUGUAUUAAGCAUUGUGGACAUUAAACAUAGAUUGCUUAGAAAUGUGCAAUACUGUUAAUUUUCAAAAUCUUGAAAGUUGUGAAUAGAAAAAUGAAAUAAGUUUUAUUUUAAUUGAAGGAAAAGCUUCAUACAGAACUUACCAUCAAUAUUUAAAAUAUAGUCAAGAAGACACUAAUCCUUUCACAUCGCAAAGAUUUCUGAAUUAACAGUAUUUGAUUUGCCUUUUUAAAUUAAAGUUAGCAUGGUAUGAUUUUUUGCUAUUUUUGCUAUUUAGUUUUUCAUAAACAAAACAUUUUGGGGCAUUCCAUGCUGGAUAAUUACAUAUAAGAUUAUAUAUAAUCAAGUUUCCAAAAAAUAGUAGCUAAAAUCAUCUAAAGUCAACCUUCGUUUUGUUAAAUUUACGAUAUUUAUCAACUGAAAAUUGAUUCAAAUGUUUGUAAUUAACCUGUCUAAAGACAAUACAUUACUUUGGGUCAGAUGAUACCCUGGACGAACAGUUCAUCAAGUGUGGUAUAUUCUCUGGUUAGGUUGUACAAGUACUCCAGACUAACAGUCCAUCGAGUGAGGUAUAUAUUCUGGUUAGGUUGUACAAGUACUCCAGACUAACAGUCAAUCAAGUGAGGUAUAUACUCUGGUUAGGUUGUACAAGUACUCCAGACUAACAGUCCAUCGAGUGAGGUAUAUAUUCUGGUUAGGUUGUACAAGUACUCCAGACUAACAGUCCAUCAAGUGAGGUAUAUAUUCUGGUUAGGUUGUACAAGUACUCCAGACUAACAGUCCAUCGAGUGAGGUAUAUUAUCUGGUUAGGUUGUAAACAGUACAAGUACUCCAGACUAACAGUCAAUCAAGUGAGGUAUAUUCUCUGGUUAGGUUGUACACAGUACAAGUACUCCAGACUAACAGUCCAUCAAGUGAGGUAUAUACUCUGGUUAGGUUGUACAAGUACUCCAGGCUAACAGUCCAUCAAGUGAGGUAUAUACUCUGGUUAGGUUGUACAAGUACUCCAGACUAACAGUCCAUCGAGUGAGGUAUAUACUCUGGUUAGGUUGUACAAGUACUCCAGGCUAACAGUCCAUCAAGUGAGGUAUAUACUCUGGUUAGGUUGUACAAGUACUCCAGACUAACAGUCCAUCGAGUGAGGUAUAUUAUCUGGUUAGGUUGUACACAGUACAAGUACUCCAGACUAACAGUCCAUCAAGUGAGGUAUAUACUCUGGUUAGGUUGUACAAGUACUCCAGACUAACAGUCCAUCGAGUGAGGUAUAUUCUCUGGUUAGGUUGUACACAGUACAAGUACUCCAGACUAACAGUCCAUCGAGUGAGGUAUAUACUCUGGUUAGGUUGUACAAGUACUCCAGACCAACAGACCAUCAAGUGAGGUAU
Long non-coding RNA from Mytilus californianus (California mussel), 6339 nucleotides. RefSeq lists it as uncharacterized. The transcript is spliced from 3 exons. Lineage: Eukaryota; Metazoa; Mollusca; Bivalvia; Mytilida; Mytilidae. The record is from RefSeq and is a predicted model, not a curated record.